AUGAGAACGUGCCCUUCGGGGUAGAUCUCCCACCCUGUGUCUACACUACCUUUGUUGCUUUGGCAGACCCGCCCUCGGGCCGCCGGCUCCGGCUGGCCAGCGUCUGCCAGAGGAUUCAAAACUCUUGUUAUCAUUGCCGUCUGAGUACUAUACAAUAGUUA
This 161-nucleotide unclassified non-coding RNA is filed under the name uncultured Leuconeurospora. Its description in RNAcentral is "sequence contains ITS1". Lineage: Eukaryota; Fungi; Ascomycota; Sordariomycetes; Hypocreales. The record is from RNAcentral.